Molecule: ribosomal RNA, 448 nt
Filed under: uncultured Calothrix sp.
Lineage: Bacteria; Bacillati; Cyanobacteriota; Cyanophyceae; Nostocales; Calotrichaceae
Description: bacterial SSU rRNA
Rfam family: Bacterial small subunit ribosomal RNA
Source: RNAcentral
CACUCCUACGGGAGGCAGCAGUGGGGAAUUUUCCGCAAUGGGCGAAAGCCUGACGGAGCAAUACCGCGUGAGGGAGGAAGGCUCUUGGGUUGUAAACCUCUUUUCUCAAGGAAUAAGAAUGAAGGUACUUGAGGAAUAAGCAUCGGCUAACUCCGUGCCAGCAGCCGCGGUAAUACGGAGGAUGCAAGCGUUAUCCGGAAUGAUUGGGCGUAAAGCGUCCGUAGGUGGUUUUGUGUGUCUGCUGUUAAAGCGUGCGGCUUAACCGCAUAAGGGCGGUGGAAACUACAAGACUAGAGUACGUUCGGGGCAGGGGGAAUUCCCAGUGUAGCGGUGAAAUGCGUAGAGAUUGGGAAGAACACCGGUGGCGAAAGCGCCCUGCUAGGCCGUAACUGACACUGAGGGACGAAAGCUAGGGGAGCGAAUGGGAUUAGAUACCCCAGUAGUCCCA